RNAcentral lists this ribosomal RNA (468 nucleotides) under uncultured bacterium. RNAcentral's name for it is "partial 16S ribosomal RNA". It matches the Rfam family "Bacterial small subunit ribosomal RNA", at positions 28 to 507 of the family's 1533-position model. The record is from RNAcentral.
GACGAACGCUGGCGGCGUGCUUAACACAUGCAAGUCGAACGGAAAGGCCCUGCUUUUGUGGGGUGCUCGAGUGGCGAACGGGUGAGUAACACGUGAGUAACCUGCCCUUGACUUUGGGAUAACUUCAGGAAACUGGGGCUAAUACCGGAUAGGAGCUCCUGCUGCAUGGUGGGGGUUGGAAAGUUUCGGCGGUUGGGGAUGGACUCGCGGCUUAUCAGCUUGUUGGUGGGGUAGUGGCUUACCAAGGCUUUGACGGGUAGCCGGCCUGAGAGGGUGACCGGCCACAUUGGGACUGGGGUACGGCCCCGACUCCUACGGGAGGCAGCAGUGGGGAAUAUUGCACAAUGGGCGGAAGCCUGAUGCAGCAACGCCGCGUGCGGGAUUACGGCCUUCGGGUUGUAAACCGCUUUCGCCUGUGACGAAGCGUGAGUGACGGUAAUGGGUAAAGAAGCACCGGCUAACUACGUG